RNAcentral lists this ribosomal RNA (253 nucleotides) under uncultured bacterium. RNAcentral describes it as "partial 16S ribosomal RNA". It matches the Rfam family "Bacterial small subunit ribosomal RNA", at positions 524 to 776 of the family's 1533-position model. The record is from RNAcentral.
UACGAAGGGGGCUAGCGUUGCUCGGAAUCACUGGGCGUAAAGCGCACGUAGGCGGCUUACUAAGUCAGGGGUGAAAUCCUGGAGCUCAACUCCAGAACUGCCUUUGAUACUGGUAAGCUCGAGUCCGGGAGAGGUGAGUGGAACUGCGAGUGUAGAGGUGAAAUUCGUAGAUAUUCGCAAGAACACCAGUGGCGAAGGCGGCUCACUGGCCCGGUACUGACGCUGAGGUGCGAAAGCGUGGGGAGCGAACAGG